Molecule: transfer RNA, 83 nt
Filed under: Hydnum rufescens UP504
Lineage: Eukaryota; Fungi; Basidiomycota; Agaricomycetes; Cantharellales; Hydnaceae
Rfam family: tRNA
About the family: Transfer RNA (tRNA) molecules are approximately 80 nucleotides in length. Their secondary structure includes four short double-helical elements and three loops (D, anti-codon, and T loops).
Source: Rfam by way of RNAcentral
GGUCUUUUAGCUCAGUUGGUUAGAGCGUGGUGCUAAUAAAGUUAUGCACGCCAAGGUCACAGGUUCGACCCCUGUAAGGACCA